This 433-nucleotide ribosomal RNA is filed under the name uncultured bacterium. RNAcentral's name for it is "partial 16S ribosomal RNA". It matches the Rfam family "Bacterial small subunit ribosomal RNA", at positions 29 to 507 of the family's 1533-position model. The record is from RNAcentral.
AACGAACGCUGGCGGCAGGCCUAACACAUGCAAGUCGAACGAGACCUUCGGGUCUGGUGGCGCACGGGUGCGUAACGGGUGGGGACCUGCCCUUAGGUUCGGAAUAACUCGCCGAAAGGGGUGCGAAUACGGGAGAAUGUCUUCCGACCAAAGAUUUGUCGCCCUUGGAUGGGCCUCCGUUGGCUUACAUAGUUGGGAGGGUAAAAGCCUACCAAUGCUACGAGCCAUAGCUGGUAUGAGAGGAUGAUCAGCCACACUGGGACUGAGAAACGGCCCAGACUCCUACGCGAGGCAGCAGUGGGGAAUACUGGAAAACGGGCGAAAGGAUGAUCCAGCAAUGACGCGUGAGCGAUGAAAGCCUGAGGGUUGUACAGCUAUUUUAUCCCGGACGAUAAUGACAGUACCGGGAGAAUAAGCUCCGGCUAACUCCGUG